Molecule: ribosomal RNA, 262 nt
Filed under: uncultured bacterium
Lineage: Bacteria
Description: partial 16S ribosomal RNA
Rfam family: Bacterial small subunit ribosomal RNA
Source: RNAcentral
UUAGCGGCGGACGGGUGAGUAACGCGUGGGCAACCUGCCUUACACAGGGGGAUAACAAUUAGAAAUGAUUGCUAAUACCGCAUAAGACCCCAGUACUGCAUGGUACAGAGGUAAAAACUGAGGUGGUGUAAGAUGGGCCCGCGUCUGAUUAGGUAGUUGGUGGGGUAGAAGCCUACCAAGCCGACGAUCAGUAGCCGACCUGAGAGGGCGACCGGCCACAUUGGGACUGAGACACGGCCCAAACUCCUACGGAAGGCAGCAG